UAACCGUGCAAAGGUAGCAUAAUCAAUUGGCUUUUAAUUGAAGUCUGGAAUGAAAGGUUAAAUAAAGAAUUUACUGUCUCUUUUUGAUUUUUUUGAAUUUAUUUAUAAAGUGAAAAUACUUUUUUAAAGAAAAAAGACGAGAAGACCCUUAGAAUUUUUACUUAGUUUUUUUAUUAAAAAUAUUUUUUUGUUGGGGUGACACUGAAACAUAUUUAACUUUCAAGAUUUACAUGACAAAUUUUUUUAAAAGAUCAAAUUACCUAAGGGAUAACAGCAUAAUGAAUUAUUUAGUUUAUGACCUCGAUGUUGGACUAGGAACUAAAAGACUAACAGUCAAAAUAGAAUGUUCUGUUCGAACAAUUUUCCCCUACAUGAUCUG
Molecule: ribosomal RNA, 379 nt
Filed under: Mollusca environmental sample
Lineage: Eukaryota; Metazoa; Mollusca
Description: partial large subunit ribosomal RNA
Source: RNAcentral